Molecule: ribosomal RNA, 265 nt
Filed under: uncultured archaeon
Lineage: Archaea
Description: partial 16S ribosomal RNA
Rfam family: Archaeal small subunit ribosomal RNA
Source: RNAcentral
ACACGACUACAUUAGAUACCCCUGUAGUCCCAGCCCUAAACGAUGCGCGUUAGGUGUAUCGGUGACCACGAGUCACCGAGGUGCCGAAGGGAAACCGUGAAACGUGCCGCCUGGGAAGUACGGUCGCAAGGCUGAAACUUAAAGGAAUUGGCGGGGGAGCACCACAACGGGAGGAGCGUGCGGUUCAAUUGGAUUCAACGCCGGACAACUCACCAGGAGCGACGGUUACAUGAAGGCCAGGCUGAUGACCUUGCCUGAUUUUCCG